This 541-nucleotide small RNA is filed under the name Pongo abelii (Sumatran orangutan). Its description in RNAcentral is "processed transcript". The record is from RNAcentral. Lineage: Eukaryota; Metazoa; Chordata; Mammalia; Primates; Hominidae.
AUUGUGCAGCAGGCGGGCCCCCGCGCGGCAGGGCCCUGGACCCGCGCGGCUCCCGGGGAUGGUGAGCAAGGCGCUCCUGCGCCUCGUGUCUGCCGUCAAUCGCAGAAGGAUGAAGCUGCUGCUGGGCAUCGCCUUGCUGGCCUACGUCGCCUCUGUUUGGGGCAACUUCGUUAAUAUGAGGUCUAUCCAGGAAAAUGGUGAACUAAAAAUUGAAAGCAAGAUUGAAGAGAUGGUUGAACCACUAAGAGAGAAAAUCAGAGAUUUAGAAAAAAGCUUUACCCAGAAAUACCCACCAGUAAAGUUUUUAUCAGAAAAGGAUCGGAAAAGAAUUUUGUUUUAAGUCGUGACUGCACCAGAGAUGUCUCUCCAUGGAGCUGGUCCUCAUUGUGUUCUCAUGUGCUUUUUCUGGGAAUGCUCUGCACACGCUGUCUGGAUGCAGAUAACCGGAGGCGCAGGGUUCGUGGGCUCCCAUCUAACUGACAAACUCAUGAUGGACGGCCACGAGGUGACCGUGGUGGACAAUUUCUUCACGGGCAGGAAG